This 253-nucleotide ribosomal RNA is filed under the name uncultured bacterium. RNAcentral's name for it is "partial 16S ribosomal RNA". It matches the Rfam family "Bacterial small subunit ribosomal RNA", at positions 524 to 776 of the family's 1533-position model. The record is from RNAcentral.
UACAGAGGUGGCAAGCGUUGUUCGGAAUUAUUGGGCGUAAAGGGCGCGUAGGCGGUGCGGUAAGUCACCUGUGAAAUCUCCUGGCUCAACUGGGAGCUUGCAGGCGAAACUGCCGUGCUGGAGUGUGGGAGAGGUGCGUGGAAUUCCUGGUGUAGCGGUGAAAUGCGUAGAUAUCAGGAGGAACACCUGUGGCGAAAGCGGCGCACUGGACCACAACUGACGCUGAGGCGCGAAAGCUAGGGGAGCAAACAGG